This 512-nucleotide ribosomal RNA is filed under the name uncultured bacterium. Its description in RNAcentral is "partial 16S ribosomal RNA". It matches the Rfam family "Bacterial small subunit ribosomal RNA", at positions 28 to 507 of the family's 1533-position model. The record is from RNAcentral.
GAUGAACGCUGGCGGCGUGCCUAAUACAUGCAUGUCGAACGAAACUUCUUUAUCACCGAGUGCUUGCACUCACCGAUAAAGAGUUGAGUGGCGAACGGGUGAGUAACACGUGGGCAACCUGCCCAAAAGAGGGGGAUAACACUUGGAAACAGGUGCUAAUACCGCAUAACCAUAGUUACCGCAUGGUAACUAUGUAAAAGGUGGCUAUACUACCGCUUUUGGAUGGGCCCGCGGCGCAUUAGCUAGUUGGUAGGGUAAAGGCUUACCAAGGCAAUGAUGCGUAGCCGAAUUGAGAGGUUGAUCGGCCACAUUGGGGCUGAGACACGGCCCAAACUCCUACGGGAGGCAGCAGUAGGGAAUCUUCCACAAUGGGCGAAAGCCUGAUGGAGCAACGCCGCGUGGGUGAAGAAGGUCUUCGGAUCGUAAAACCCUGUUGUUAGAGAAGAAAGUGCGUGAGAGUAACUGUUCACGUUUCGACGGUAUCUAACCAGAAAGCCACGGCUAACUACGUG